AUUGAACGCUGGCGGAAUGCUUUACACAUGCAAGUCGAACGGCAGCACGGGGCAACCUGGUGGCGAGUGGCGAACGGGUGAGUAAUACAUCGGAACGUGCCCAAUCGUGGGGGAUAACGUAGCGAAAGUUACGCUAAUACCGCAUACGAUCUACGGAUGAAAGCGGGGGAUCGCAAGACCUCGCGCGAAUGGAGCGGCCGAUGUCAGAUUAGGUAGUUGGUGGGGUAAAGGCUCACCAAGCCAACGAUCUGUAGCUGGUCUGAGAGGACGACCAGCCACACUGGAACUGAGACACGGUCCAGACUCCUACGGGAGGCAGCAGUGGGGAAUUUUGGACAAUGGGCGCAAGCCUGAUCCAGCCAUUCCGCGUGCAGGAUGAAGGCCUCGGUGUAAC
This 394-nucleotide ribosomal RNA is filed under the name uncultured bacterium. Its description in RNAcentral is "bacterial SSU rRNA". It matches the Rfam family "Bacterial small subunit ribosomal RNA", at positions 30 to 429 of the family's 1533-position model. The record is from RNAcentral.